RNAcentral lists this ribosomal RNA (395 nucleotides) under uncultured Rozellomycota. RNAcentral describes it as "uncultured Cryptomycota partial small subunit ribosomal RNA". It matches the Rfam family "Eukaryotic small subunit ribosomal RNA", at positions 30 to 432 of the family's 1831-position model. Lineage: Eukaryota; Fungi; Rozellomycota. The record is from RNAcentral.
GCUUGUCUCAAAGAUUAAGCCAUGCAUGUCUAAGUAUAAACAACUUUAUACUGUGAAACUGCGUACAGCUCAUUAUAUCAGUUAUAAUUUAUUUGAUGGUGAUUUACUACAUGGAUAACCGUGGUAAUUCUAGAGCUAAUACAUGCGUAAGAUCCUGACUAACGAAGGGACGUAUUUAUUAGAUAAAAACCAAUGCCUCGUGCUUUUGGUGAGUCAUGAUAACUGCGCGGAUCGCAUGGCCUUGCGCCGGCGACGCUUCAUUCAAAUUUCUGCCCUAUCAACUUUCGAUGGUAAGAUAGAGGCUUACCAUGGUGUUAACGGGUAACGGGGAAUUGGGGUUCGAUUCCGGAGAGGGAGCCUGAGAAAUGGCUACCACUUCCAAGGAAGGCAGCAGG